GAUGAACGCUGGCGGCGUGCCUAAUACAUGCAAGUCGAGCGAACAGAUAAGGAGCUUGCUCCUUUGACGUUAGCGGCGGACGGGUGAGUAACACGUGGGUAACCUACCUAUAAGACUGGGAUAACUUCGGGAAACCGGAGCUAAUACCGGAUAACAUUUGGAACCGCAUGGUUCUAAAGUGAAAGAUGGUUUUGCUAUCACUUAUAGAUGGACCCGCGCCGUAUUAGCUAGUUGGUAAGGUAACGGCUUACCAAGGCAACGAUACGUAGCCGACCUGAGAGGGUGAGUCGCCACACCGGAACUGAGACAAGGGCCCGACCCCUAAGGGGGGCAGGAAUAGGGAAAUUUCCGCAAAGGGGGAAAACCCGAACGAGCAAACCCGGGGGAGUGAAUAAAGGUUUCCGAUCGUAAAAACCUGUUAUUAGGGGAAAAAAAAUUUGUAAAGAAAUAUGGCCGGUUUGACGGUACCUAAUCAAAAAACCCCGGGUAAACACGUG
RNAcentral lists this ribosomal RNA (497 nucleotides) under uncultured bacterium. RNAcentral's name for it is "partial 16S ribosomal RNA". It matches the Rfam family "Bacterial small subunit ribosomal RNA", at positions 28 to 507 of the family's 1533-position model. The record is from RNAcentral.